GAUGAACGCUGGCGGCGUGCUUAAUACAUGCAAGUCGAACGAAGUCAGUAGCAAUAUUGGCUGAGUGGCGAACGGGUGAGUAACGCGUUGGUGACCUGCCCCGAAGAGAGGGAUAACAGUUCGAAAGGACUGCUAAUACCCCAUGUGGUCAUUUGGAUUAGAUGCCUUAUGACUAAACGGAUUUAUUCGCUCCGGGAGGGGCCUGCGUCCCAUCAGCUAGUUGGUAGGGUAAGAGCUUACCAAGGCGAUGACGGGUAGGGGACCUGAGAGGGUGACCCCCCACAAUGGAACUGAAACACGGUCCAUACACCUACGGGAGGCAG
Molecule: ribosomal RNA, 323 nt
Filed under: uncultured Chloroflexota bacterium
Lineage: Bacteria; Bacillati; Chloroflexota
Description: bacterial SSU rRNA
Rfam family: Bacterial small subunit ribosomal RNA
Source: RNAcentral